GACGAACGCUGGCGGCGUGCCUAAUACAUGCAAGUAGAACGCUGAAGAGAGGAGCUUGCUCUUCUUGGAUGAGUUGCGAACGGGUGAGUAACGCGUAGGUAACCUGCCUUGUAGCGGGGGAUAACUAUUGGAAACGAUAGCUAAUACUGCAUAACAAUGGAUGACCCAUGUCAUUUAUUUGAAAGGGGCAAAUGCUCCACUACAAGAUGGACCUGCGUUGUAUUAGCUAGUAGGUGAGGUAACGGCUCACCUAGGCGACGAUACAUAGCCGACCUGAGAGGGUGAUCGGCCACACUGGGACUGAGACACGGCCCAGACUCCUACGGGAGGCAGCAGUAGGGAAUCUUCGGCAAUGGGGGCAACCCUGACCGAGCAACGCCGCGUGAGUGAAGAAGGUUUUCGGAUCGUAAAGCUCUGUUGUAAGUCAAGAACGAGUGUGAGAGUGGAAAGUUCACACUGUGACGGUAGCUUACCAGAAAGGGACGGCUAACUACGUG
RNAcentral lists this ribosomal RNA (497 nucleotides) under uncultured bacterium. RNAcentral describes it as "partial 16S ribosomal RNA". It matches the Rfam family "Bacterial small subunit ribosomal RNA", at positions 28 to 507 of the family's 1533-position model. The record is from RNAcentral.